This 459-nucleotide ribosomal RNA is filed under the name uncultured bacterium. Its description in RNAcentral is "partial 16S ribosomal RNA". It matches the Rfam family "Bacterial small subunit ribosomal RNA", at positions 338 to 794 of the family's 1533-position model. The record is from RNAcentral.
CCUACGGGAGACUGCAGUGAGGAAUAUUGGUCAAUGGACGCAAGUCUGAACCAGCCAUGCCGCGUGCAGGAAGACGGCUCUAUGAGUUGUAAACUGCUUUUGUACGAGGUUAAACGCAGAUACGUGUCUCUGUCUGAAAGUAUCGUACGAAUAAGGAUCGGCUAACUCCGUGCCAGCAGCCGCGGUAAUACGGAGGAUUCAAGCGUUAUCCGGAUUUAUUGGGUUUAAAGGGUGCGUAGGCGGUCGGAUAAGUUAGGGGUGAAAUCCCGAGGCUCAACUUCGGAAUUGCCUCUGAUACUGUUGGGCUAGAGAGUAGUUGCGGUAGGCGGAAUGUAUGGUGUAGCGGUGAAAUGCUUAGAGAUCAUACAGAACACCGAUGGCGAAGGCAGCUUACCAAGCUACUUCUGACGUUGAGGCACGAAAGCGUGGGGAGCAAACAGGAUUAGAUACCCGUGUAUC